RNAcentral lists this ribosomal RNA (505 nucleotides) under uncultured bacterium. RNAcentral's name for it is "partial 16S ribosomal RNA". It matches the Rfam family "Bacterial small subunit ribosomal RNA", at positions 28 to 507 of the family's 1533-position model. The record is from RNAcentral.
GACGAACGCUGGCGGCGUGCCUAAUACAUGCAAGUAGAACGCACAGUUUAUACCGUAGCUUGCUACACCAUAGACUGUGAGUUGCGAACGGGUGAGUAACGCGUAGGUAACCUGCCUGGUAGCGGGGGAUAACUAUUGGAAACGAUAGCUAAUACCGCAUAAUAUUGAUUAUUGCAUGAUAAUUGAUUGAAAGAUGCUAUUGCAUCACUACCAGAUGGACCUGCGUUGUAUUAGCUAGUAGGUGAGGUAACGGCUCACCUAGGCGACGAUACAUAGCCGACCUGAGAGGGUGAUCGGCCACCCUGGGACUGAGACACGGCCCAGACUCCUACGGGAGGCAGCAGUAGGGAAUCUUCGGCAAUGGACGAAAGUCUGACCGAGCAACGCCGCGUGAGUGAAGAAGGUUUUCGGAUCGUAAAGCUCUGCUGUAAGAGAAGAACGGGUGUGAGAGUGGAAAGUUCACACUGUGACGGUAUCUUACCAGAAAGGGACGGCUAACUACGUG